Non-coding RNA from Pelobates cultripes (western spadefoot toad), 464 nucleotides. The record is from the annotation of a GenBank genome assembly. NCBI's taxonomy places the organism in Eukaryota, Metazoa, Chordata, Amphibia, Anura, Pelobatidae.
UGUGACAAGAGCAAUCUCGCCACAUUGCAUUGGAGAAGCCUGGCUGCCCGCCUGCUGCCUUUGGACUAUGGACCAGACUUUAUGUAAAUGUGUUAACCCAGAUAGCUAUGCCAUGGAGCCCAUUUGUGUAGUUAAAGACUUCAGCUCCAUGGCAAUUGAACUGUGUGAAUAGGAUCUGAGCGCUAUUCGGUAGUUUUGUGCGCUCAGAUCCCAGCUAUCUGGGGAUAUGUGAAAUGUCUGUGUGUUAUGUGUAAAAGGUGACUUUAUGUAUUUUAAAGUGUUUUAUGUCUUUUUGCAACCAUGUGCUCAAUGGAGUCUGCCUCUAUCCCUGGAUAAUUGGAUUACUUUCCCCAUUGUCUCCAGAAUAGAGGGCUCUGUAAAACCUGUUUGAGCCAGAUAACCAUGUGCCAGCCAGGGCCCAAAAGAUACUUUUACUAACUUUUGAACCCCUGGUCGGAUUCAUG